AGAAAACGCAACAGUCAGCCUGUUCCAAGAUUCUGGGCAGGCUGUGUGGUGUGAUCCAUAGGACUUGGGCUGCUGUGGAGUGAAGAAUACAAUGACUGCCAAUUCACCUUGGUGCUGUGAUCUUGAUUCCUGCAAACAUACCAGCAGUUUUACCCACCAUCGCUUUUGUACUAUCAGUACAGAGGCCAGUACAGUGGAAAAGAAAUUGACAAGCUGAUCCUAAAAAUCACAUGAAAAUGUAAAGAAUCCAGCAAUCUCUUGGAAAAGAAGCCAAAACAAUAUUGGAGAAGAAAAACAAAGUUGGAAAACUCACACUUCCUGAUAUCAUAACGGAAAAGAAGGACUAUUACCACAAUAUCUGAAGGAUGAGAACUUUUUGGAAUUGUCCAACAUCUCAAAAAUGUCAGUUAUCAUGGAUGCCUAUCAUUUAAGGAAUUUGCAUGUAUCUGGGCAUUAUUGAUAGAAUCCAGGGUUGAGCACUGAGUGGGAAAGGAAAAGUGUUCCUACUGAAGUCUCCAAACUUUUGUGAUUGCAAACCUCUAAUGCGUGGAAAUCCCUGCAUCCAGGGGAACUCCUCUACCUCUGACAAAUCGAAAUGCUCAGUCACUCCAGGCCGAAUUGGGAUUUU
Molecule: long non-coding RNA, 628 nt
Filed under: Homo sapiens (human)
Lineage: Eukaryota; Metazoa; Chordata; Mammalia; Primates; Hominidae
Description: HSALNT0299488
Source: RNAcentral